GUGUAGAAGUUGAGCAAGGGAUCUCAUGAGAAUAGACUUUGGGAGUGUUGAACAAAAAGGGAGUAUUUCAUCUUAAAUUGCCUCUGUUUUGUCCAAACUAUUUCUGUAUAUAGCAUGUCCUUGCUUAGCAUUAUUUGAAGUGUUGAUUCUGAUAUGAGAGUUUAUGUAAACUAGAAUUAACCACUCUGAUUUCUGAAUGGGUUUGUUUAAGCUCGGAUCACAAUUCUCUGAUUACUGCCUUCUGUUCUUUUAAAUUGCUGCAUAAUUCUGAUUGUGAAUUUCCUUUCUUUUUCACUUGCAAAUGAUGAUUCUGAAUUGGAAUUGUUUUGUACUAAGGCCUUGAAUUGAAACAUUUUCUUCCCUGGUUAAAAAUAUCAUUUCAAUUUUAUUGGGAAAGCAGUUUCCGAUUUCAGUUUUAUCCAGAGUGAUUGACUACAU
Molecule: long non-coding RNA, 438 nt
Filed under: Vigna radiata
Lineage: Eukaryota; Viridiplantae; Streptophyta; Magnoliopsida; Fabales; Fabaceae
Description: long non-coding RNA (VRAD_LNC015002)
Source: RNAcentral